This 2310-nucleotide ribosomal RNA is filed under the name Staphylococcus aureus H41070. RNAcentral describes it as "bacterial LSU rRNA". It matches the Rfam family "Bacterial large subunit ribosomal RNA", at positions 611 to 2925 of the family's 2925-position model. The record is from RNAcentral. Lineage: Bacteria; Bacillati; Bacillota; Bacilli; Caryophanales; Staphylococcaceae.
UAGAAUGAACCGGCGAGUUACGAUUUGAUGCAAGGUUAAGCAGUAAAUGUGGAGCCGUAGCGAAAGCGAGUCUGAAUAGGGCGUUUAGUAUUUGGUCGUAGACCCGAAACCAGGUGAUCUACCCUUGGUCAGGUUGAAGUUCAGGUAACACUGAAUGGAGGACCGAACCGACUUACGUUGAAAAGUGAGCGGAUGAACUGAGGGUAGCGGAGAAAUUCCAAUCGAACCUGGAGAUAGCUGGUUCUCUCCGAAAUAGCUUUAGGGCUAGCCUCAAGUGAUGAUUAUUGGAGGUAGAGCACUGUUUGGACGAGGGGCCCCUCUCGGGUUACCGAAUUCAGACAAACUCCGAAUGCCAAUUAAUUUAACUUGGGAGUCAGAACAUGGGUGAUAAGGUCCGUGUUCGAAAGGGAAACAGCCCAGACCACCAGCUAAGGUCCCAAAAUAUAUGUUAAGUGGAAAAGGAUGUGGCGUUGCCCAGACAACUAGGAUGUUGGCUUAGAAGCAGCCAUCAUUUAAAGAGUGCGUAAUAGCUCACUAGUCGAGUGACACUGCGCCGAAAAUGUACCGGGGCUAAACAUAUUACCGAAGCUGUGGAUUGUCCUUUGGACAAUGGUAGGAGAGCGUUCUAAGGGCGUUGAAGCAUGAUCGUAAGGACAUGUGGAGCGCUUAGAAGUGAGAAUGCCGGUGUGAGUAGCGAAAGACGGGUGAGAAUCCCGUCCACCGAUUGACUAAGGUUUCCAGAGGAAGGCUCGUCCGCUCUGGGUUAGUCGGGUCCUAAGCUGAGGCCGACAGGCGUAGGCGAUGGAUAACAGGUUGAUAUUCCUGUACCACCUAUAAUCGUUUUAAUCGAUGGGGGGACGCAGUAGGAUAGGCGAAGCGUGCGAUUGGAUUGCACGUCUAAGCAGUAAGGCUGAGUAUUAGGCAAAUCCGGUACUCGUUAAGGCUGAGCUGUGAUGGGGAGAAGACAUUGAGUCUUCGAGUCGUUGAUUUCACACUGCCGAGAAAAGCCUCUAGAUAGAAAAUAGGUGCCCGUACCGCAAACCGACACAGGUAGUCAAGAUGAGAAUUCUAAGGUGAGCGAGCGAACUCUCGUUAAGGAACUCGGCAAAAUGACCCCGUAACUUCGGGAGAAGGGGUGCUCUUUAGGGUUAACGCCCAGAAGAGCCGCAGUGAAUAGGCCCAAGCGACUGUUUAUCAAAAACACAGGUCUCUGCUAAACCGUAAGGUGAUGUAUAGGGGCUGACGCCUGCCCGGUGCUGGAAGGUUAAGAGGAGUGGUUAGCUUCUGCGAAGCUACGAAUCGAAGCCCCAGUAAACGGCGGCCGUAACUAUAACGGUCCUAAGGUAGCGAAAUUCCUUGUCGGGUAAGUUCCGACCCGCACGAAAGGCGUAACGAUUUGGGCACUGUCUCAACGAGAGACUCGGUGAAAUCAUAGUACCUGUGAAGAUGCAGGUUACCCGCGACAGGACGGAAAGACCCCGUGGAGCUUUACUGUAGCCUGAUAUUGAAAUUCGGCACAGCUUGUACAGGAUAGGUAGGAGCCUUUGAAACGUGAGCGCUAGCUUACGUGGAGGCGCUGGUGGGAUACUACCCUAGCUGUGUUGGCUUUCUAACCCGCACCACUUAUCGUGGUGGGAGACAGUGUCAGGCGGGCAGUUUGACUGGGGCGGUCGCCUCCUAAAAGGUAACGGAGGCGCUCAAAGGUUCCCUCAGAAUGGUUGGAAAUCAUUCAUAGAGUGUAAAGGCAUAAGGGAGCUUGACUGCGAGACCUACAAGUCGAGCAGGGUCGAAAGACGGACUUAGUGAUCCGGUGGUUCCGCAUGGAAGGGCCAUCGCUCAACGGAUAAAAGCUACCCCGGGGAUAACAGGCUUAUCUCCCCCAAGAGUUCACAUCGACGGGGAGGUUUGGCACCUCGAUGUCGGCUCAUCGCAUCCUGGGGCUGUAGUCGGUCCCAAGGGUUGGGCUGUUCGCCCAUUAAAGCGGUACGCGAGCUGGGUUCAGAACGUCGUGAGACAGUUCGGUCCCUAUCCGUCGUGGGCGUAGGAAAUUUGAGAGGAGCUGUCCUUAGUACGAGAGGACCGGGAUGGACAUACCUCUGGUGUACCAGUUGUCGUGCCAACGGCAUAGCUGGGUAGCUAUGUGUGGACGGGAUAAGUGCUGAAAGCAUCUAAGCAUGAAGCCCCCCUCAAGAUGAGAUUUCCCAACUUCGGUUAUAAGAUCCCUCAAAGAUGAUGAGGUUAAUAGGUUCGAGGUGGAAGCAUGGUGACAUGUGGAGCUGACGAAUACUAAUCGAUCGAAGACUUAAUCAA